This is a non-coding RNA of Phalacrocorax carbo (great cormorant), 9451 nucleotides long. The record is from RefSeq and is a predicted model, not a curated record. Lineage: Eukaryota; Metazoa; Chordata; Aves; Suliformes; Phalacrocoracidae.
GAGAACGCUUCCUGUGUUGGGACACUGAUUUAAAUCUGUACAGGGUGGAAAGCGAUGCCGGUUACUAACCUGUCUCUUUUCGGCAUGGCCGGCGUUUUUUUCCUCACUUGUGGGCUGUUUAGAAAAGGCUGUAAUGAAAUGAAUUCACGGGAAUUCGGCUGUUUUUACAGUGAGGUAAAACUCCCUAAUGGGUGAGAUGCUUCCACUUGCCUUUUGUCCAUCGUGGCUUGUAAGAUAUGAGUUUGUGAUUAUUUUAUUUCUUAGGAGCUGCGUUUUUGAGGAAUGGAAUGGUAAUAGGGGUCUUUGUUGGCAGCGAUGGUAUAGAAUUGAUUGUAGGGCAUGUUGAGCUCCUCCUUUUAGAGACAGGAGCUAAAUUAAAGACUUGUGGAGCUUUAGCAGCAUAUAGGGAAACAUUUAUAUGCAAUUUUCAUUCUCUUCCUACUCCUUGGAGAAGAAAAUGGCUUAUGUUUCCUGAGCUACCAGCCUAGUGGUAUCUGUGAGGUUUGUGUUUACUGGGAGAAAAGAAGUAGUUUAUUGCGUUUACUGUGUGUCUGUUCCAUGCUUGCUGAUUCCUCUGAAUGUCCCUGCUUGCUCUGUGCUUUGGGGAGAGUAAUAUUUCCGAACAAGCUUGUGCAAGUGGCAGGUGGUAUAAAGACAGAACUGUGUAACUUGAAUUGCAUGGGUGCUCUGGACAUUGUUAUCUUAUACAAUCAUCAACUUCUUUCUGAAAUGUGGGCCUUUAAAUUAUUUUUAAUCAUAACCUCUUCUGGCAAAGUCUGUUUUAUCAACACAUUUUUUUUUUAUAUAUAUUUUCCCCCUGUUUAUAGAAUGCAGUAAAAUAUUUGUUAUGUUAGGAUCAGCUUGUAGUGAGGAUCCACUGAAUUUGUUCCCCUUCACCUUCCCUCGUAUUUGGCUCCCUUGUAUAUAAUAAAUAGUUCAGAAUUUAACAAGAAUAUCAAGUUUCUUCAGUGGUGUAUUGUUAGCAUAUCAUGUGUCAGAUAAUGUUGUUCAAAAAAUUAGCCAAUAAAUAGAAUUCUGAGUUCAUCUCACUGAUGAUCUGAUCAAAACCAGUCCCCCUUCUCUGAACCAAACUACCUUUCUACUUUUUCCUAGAAGAUCCUCUGAAUGUUAUGGUGGCUGCUUUUCUAAGGGGCACAAUAUAAUUUGUUCAGACUUUAAAGAGACAAAAAAAUAUAGGUUGAAGCAACAGUUGCUGGGUUAAAUAAGGUCUCCUAAGGAUAACAUUCUCUAACCUCCAGAGAUGGAAGCUGUUGCAGUGCUAGAGGAGGUACUGGUUUCCAUUGAAAAUGAGCUGCAAGCAGUGGAAAUGCAGAUACAGGAGCUUGUGGAUAAACAGCAGGAACUCCUUCAAAAGAAGAUGAGAGUAAAGAGUCUGAUAAAGCAGUCCUCAGGAGACUUGGAGGCAGGUGGGAGUAAAGACACUGAAACCUCAGCCGAGGCAUGGAACAAAAAAGACUUUCCGUGGUAUGACAAGAUAAAAACUGCACUGCAAAGCAAGUUUAAACUCCAGAAGUUUAGGUCCUUGCAACUUGAAACAGUAAAUGCUGCAAUGGCAGGAAAGGAUAUAUUUCUUGUCAUGCCAACAGGUGGUGGGAAGAGCCUUUGCUAUCAGUUACCGGCUGUCUGUUCUGAUGGUUUCACACUUGUGAUAUGUCCUUUGAUAUCACUUAUGGAAGAUCAGCUCAUGGUUUUGGAACAGCUUGGUGUUUCUGCAACUUUAUUAAAUGCUUCAAGCAGUAAGGAACAUGUGAAGUGGGUUCAUACCGAAAUGCUAAACAGAAAUUCGCAACUGAAGCUCAUUUAUGUGACCCCGGAGAAGAUUGCAAAAAGCAAAAUGUUCAUGUCAAAGCUAGAGAAAGCUUAUCAAGCAGGGUGUCUUGCUCGCAUUGCUGUAGAUGAGGUCCAUUGCUGUAGUCAAUGGGGCCACGACUUCAGGCCUGACUACAAGUCUCUUGGUAUCUUGAAAAGGCAGUUUCCCAAUGCUCCCUUGAUUGGAUUGACAGCAACUGCUACAAAUCAUGUUUUAAAGGAUGCUCAGAAAAUUCUGCACGUUCAGAAGUGCAUUACCUUUACUGCUUCUUUCAAUCGGCCCAAUCUUUACUAUGAGGUUCGCCAUAAACCUUCAAAUAAUGAAGAUUUCAUUGAGGAUAUAGUUAAGAUGAUUAAUGGAAGAUACAAAGGACUCUCAGGAAUCGUUUACUGUUUUUCUCAGAAGGAUUCUGAGCAAGUUACUGUGAGUUUGCAGAAACUGGGAAUCAAGGCGGGGACUUACCAUGCAAACAUGGAUGCUAAAUAUAAGACCAAAGUUCAUAAAGGAUGGGCAGCGAAUCAAAUCCAGGUUGUAGUGGCGACUGUUGCUUUUGGCAUGGGAAUUGAUAAACCUGACGUGAGGUUUGUAAUUCAUCAUUCUAUGAGCAAAUCCAUGGAGAACUACUACCAAGAGAGUGGACGUGCAGGUAGAGAUGACCAAAAAGCCGACUGCAUUUUGUAUUAUGGUUUUGGAGAUAUAUUCAGAAUCAGCUCAAUGGUAGUGAUGGAAAAUGUAGGGCAAGAGAAGCUGUAUGACAUGGUGUCUUACUGCCAGAAUAUGAAUACGUGCCGCCGGGUCCUCAUAGCCCAUCAUUUUGAUGAAGUAUGGGAUUCUGCAAACUGCAACAGAAUGUGUGAUAACUGUUGUAGAGAGAACUCAUCUGAGAAAAUUGAUAUAACAGGAUACUGCAGGGAUCUAAUCAGGAUACUUGAGCAAGCUGAAAACAUGAGUGAGAAGCUCACCCCGCUGAAAUUAAUUGAUGCGUGGUCUGGGAAAGGUGCAUCAAAAUUCAGGGUGGCUGAAGUUACUCCGCCAAAGCACCCUCGAGAGGAACUGGAGAGAAUUAUUGCCCAUUUACUGCUGCAGCAGUAUCUGAAGGAGGACUUCAGCUUCACAGCGUUUGCUACAAUAUCCUACCUGAAGAUAGGACCAAAAGCAAGCCUGCUGAAAAAUGAGGCACACGUCAUCACUAUACAAGGGAUAACAAACAAAAAAAGUGUUUAUAAGGACAAACCAUCUCAAUCUUCGAAUUCGAAAGCAAGCAGAGGAAACAUUCAGACUAUUUCAAAGACUGUCCAAGAUUCAGCGGUGAAGAAUUCACAGGAACAUAAACGGCCUAACUGUGGUUCUAACUUAAAAGCAAAGAAGCUUAAGCUUCAGGCAGGUGGAGAUGACCAACCAGUAGUGCUUGACUGAGUUUCAUGGACUACAUUUAGGAUCUAAUCGUGUUUGCUUCUCCACGGACAAUGCAGUGUGGAAGGGCGUCUAGAUGAGAUCAUCAGCACCCUGACCAGCUGUGUCUUGAAAAACCUCCCAGGAUGAGGACACCACCACUGCCCUGCAGAGGUUGUACCAGUGAUUGUUCUCGCUGUAUUGACAUUCAUUCGUAUUUGUUCUUGAAAUGAACCUGAAGGAGUGCUUGAAGAUCUCCAAACAGCUGCUGGUUUUCAGUACAGGCAAGUGUCACGGUAUGGUGAAAGCUUCGGUUCUUUUGCAAGGGAGGGCUUGGCAUAAGUUUCCAUAAGUUCCUACUUCUCCCAGUCAUGAAGUACUUACGGUUAUACAAUCAAUAUCCUCUGAAAUUGAUUAUUUAACGUGGGCCAACAUUGCUUUAUCUGCUCAGUCCUACUUCCUGCAUUGUGUAACUGAGCGAGGGCCACACGGUCUUUUUCUUUCUGCCCCUGACCCAGCCUGUAACGCAGGGCCCCAGGCCCUGCUGGCUGAACUGCAGCCGCUUGACACUGAGGGUCACAGUCUUUCCUCGACAACCUCUGUGGACUGAAAAAAAUCUUCAGCUAGAAUUUUUCUGCCUCUGAUUUCAGCAAAGAGAAUAUUUAACUAUUUAUAUAGACUCCUAUAUAUUUCUAUAGUUAAAUAAAAUAUAUACCUGUUGACUUCCUUUGCACAUCAGUGUUUCCAGAAACAAGUAACAGUGCUGCCAGUGGUAAAGACCCAAGAGUGACCACUGACUUUAGGCAUUGCUUAGGCACACAUGAGGCUGAAUAAUACUGGAGUAGAGGGUUGGUUUUGUUGUUUUUGGUUUUUUUUUUUUUUAAAAAGACCUUGGCAACUAGUGAUCAGUAAGGCAAGUUCAAACUCAUUAUGAAUAUAAGUUCUGGUAGGUUUCAUUUUGGUUGCCAUCUCCCCAUACCUGCCCCAGAGUCAGAUGUACUAUCAACUUAAAUACAAACCAAGCAUGAUUAAUAAUGUGCUCUUCAUCUUUAUUUUUCUGGUAGAAUCCUGUCAGUGACUAAAGCUGAGUAUUUCACUUAUCAUUUAACUGAAACUUUUGCCAGAAGUGGAAAUAAUUAAUUUAAUUGAACAGUUAUUCUCUUAAAAUAAUCAGUGAUUUUCUGGGAGAAGUUGCAACAUAUAGCGCCAACUUUGCACUUAGUGGAGUCCAACAAACUGGGAACAAAGAGCAGCAACUGUAGAACAAAACCAAAAGCCAGUAUAAGACAACCUGUGUCUGUGGACAGCACUACUGAACACAGAGAGGGCAUUAAGAAUAGCUUAAAGCUCAACAAUUUAUCAGCUAGCAACUAAAACUGAAGGAACUCCCCUUCAAAAUGGCACCCGGGACCAGCAACCACACAGCAGCUGCUCCACAAGGUCUUGCCAGGGAGAGCCCUACAGGCACCGGCCACCAGCGCUGUGAUGUUUGCCUCGCCUUGGCACACACUGCCCAGCUCUGCCCCAACACCUGAACAGCGAAGUGACAAGCAGUAAAACAGCUGUGCUCAGCUGACAUCUCACCCUGGCUUUCAUUGUUCACAGAUUUGUGUUCUGUACUUAACUGAAUAGAAAAUUACUUCUGAAAUAAAUCUAAUUUCAGAAAAAAACCCAAAGCAUCCAUCUUGCCAUGUAUUUGCAGACCACGUUCCAGGUAGCGAGAGCUCCAAGUGCCCUGUGCCCUGGAGAUGUCCCCUGUUAAUCUGAGCCAGCUUGACAGAGAUGUUACAGUGAACUGGACAGGAGUCUCGAAACCUGUGCCAAGUACUCGCAGGUCAGAGCAGCGGAGGGGGGGUAGCGGGCUGGUAACGCACUGCGUGGCUCCCUGGUGGGAACACGCACCUCAGCAAGUGGGACCUUCCCACUGGCCCAGGGCCAGAGGUGGCUUUAGGCAGGUGUGGCAGCAGCAUAGCAGCAAGGUGUCCCGGCUCUGUGCUUGAGAUGAGAAACAUGGAUGGCAGCAAGCCCCGGGGAAAUGGGGCCCUGGUAACCAUGGCAGGUGAACCAUGUGUGGAGGGAGCUACAAGGCAGGUAUGCACUUUAACACAUUUACUUAUAAAAAGCGAACCUACCUCACAUUCAAGUGAGUGCAGGGCUAUCUUAACAGAACAGGGAAGCCCACAUUUUAAGACUGUUAUCGCCCUGUUCUCAUAUGCUCAUCUAAUCUAGAUGAAAACUCUUCGCCAACACUAAUCCACUUGCUUUUGUUGCUGCAUUUCUACACAGAUUAAUUUAAUUUGCUGGUCAGUAUUUUGGCAAGAUCAACACAAAAAUCUUAAUACAGAAUUGCAUUUAUCCCUCGUUGCUGGUAAUCCUGAGGAAACAGUUUUAAGACACAUUACUCUGUCAAAACUUUAUACAAAAUGGAAAUGGGGCUCUGUUCAAUCAAAAUAAUCUUCUAUAUCAAUAUCUGGAUUCAGGAGAUCUUCACCGUAGGCUGAAAGAUCCAUUUGAUUUAAAAUUAAGUUUUCAAAGGUCUCUUCCAAGUCUGUUUCACCGAUCAGCACAGCUCCCAUCAUGCGGCCAUUCUGCAUCACAACUUUAACAUACUCUUGUCCCUUGGUACAUCUCAGCAUCAGUUCGUGGUCCACACCCAAGCCUUGAGCAUUGUAUUUUCCCAAAACCACCACCUAACAGGAGGAAAAGAAAAAGCACUCGUAAGAUCAUCGCAGUGGCUUUUCGUAUUUCUGCUGAGAGCAGUUAAGCUUCAAAAGACUGAUGUAAACAGGUAAAUAUUUGUCCCUAGGGAACCUCCCCCCUUCGCAAGCUUUCAAAUCCAAAACAGAAUUAAAGAUCUUCGCCUUCAAAUACCAUACACAAAACCCAAUAUUGAACCAUUUACUGUGCUGAAUUUAUCCACAAACAGAAAUCUAAUGAAAUGGAAUAUAUCCAGAGAUGCAAAGUAGGUCAGUAGUCAUUCACCAAUUAAAAUCUACAUCUGCAACGCUCUUUGCCCUCUUCAGUUUCAGCACUCGAAGCUAGUGUGAACAGAGAAAGUCAAAUUAUUAUAUACAGGAAACAGUUUUGUCAGUACUAAAGUAUCUGCUCAGUGCUGGCAAGUGAAUAAGCAAGCAACGUGUGUUACUCAGUGGUUUAAGGCUAUUAGACUAGAUUUACUUUACCUUGUAAUUGAAAAAUUUUGUAACGUGGGCAAAUAGUUCAAAGCUGAAAUCCAUGUCAAUAGAUUCCCCUAAAGUAUCUGCUGCCAUGCACUUUGCUGCAUACCAUCCCAUCUGCCUCGCUUGAGUCCACAGUCUCAUCUAAAACAAAAAAUAUAUUUAAAAACACAGAACCAUGUCCCCGAGCAACAAGCGACCCUCGCUGUUCUCAUUAAUGCAUACUACGUAUUUUCGUUAUGCUCGGAAAGGCUGAACAGCUUGGCUUUCAGCCACACAGAGAAAAUUAUCUGUCAUCAGCACACCCAGGAUUAUCUGCUUGUUCACUGGCUUCCGCUUCAAUUAAACUUUCUUUUCCCCCAUCUGCGAAUUACCGUGUAAUUUACUUUGUGGAUUCGCCUGCUGCUGAGCGCACAACUGCAUGAUCUCAUUUACCUGAUGCCACACUGGACUAGGUUCCCACGAGGCCGUGCAGAUAUCUCCAGCUGCAUAUACAUCUGGCAGGGAGGUGUGCAUUUGUUUAUCUACUUUAAGACCUCCGUCUUCACCUAGAGCAAACUAAUGUAUUUGCACAGAUCAGCAGUAAGAAAAAUAAUCAUUUAAACUAAGUAAUUUGACUUCACCCAUGUUAAGCAGUUGUCUGAUUUGUUACUUUUUAAUGGUAGACUCCUAAAAAACACUUUGGUAGAAUCACUGUUCUGCUUAAUCAGAACAUUUGAAGAUACAAAAUUGUAUGAAUAAACACUACAGCAACCCAGCAAGAUGCUCUUCUGGGUGCCACGUGGCAACAGAAAAAAAGGUUGUUCAGGGUAAACAAUUUAUGGUGAUUCCUUCUCCCACCUAAUCUGACUCAAUUAGAGAAGACUGAUAACCACAAGAGAAACACGGUGUUCAAACCUCACGAUCUUAAGGCUCCUUCAUCUUCAAGGGAAGAAAACAGAUCCCCCAAAGAGUGCCAUGGUGAAGUAUUUUUCACAGCCGUCACAUAUAAAAGUAUUACUUCCUCAUAGUAUGAUGCAACCCUGCCCCCCGCAGAACUGAUCCUGAAUCUUAUCAGACCUAGAACCCUUCAAAUAAGCAAAGACAAAAUUAGCCUCCAGAAGUAGAAUUUCCUAGCAAUUUCUGCGUUCUUUUCUCACCAGGUUUAAGAGCAGAGCAGUGUAGUAUUUUACAAGUGACCUUCACAUACCCUUUAAAACACCUCAAACUACAUAUUAAAAAAAGCUUAGAAUAGCAUCAUGUACUGCAUAAAAUUAUUUAACAUGAGACUAUCCAGAGUGGCAAGACCUCCCUGGUAUGAUACAAAGCAUUAAGCAUUAUUUCUAGAACACAGCAUAGGUUUUUAAAAUAUUAUUAACAGAUACCCAGGCAGGGAAGUAACAAAGCUCGCCACAUUUCAAGUCACACUACGUUUGUUACAGGGACACCAAGUCUAGUACAGGGACACCGAGUACAAUAUGAACAAGAGUUCAUUUUGUAUUUUUGCAAAGGCCAGAAAACACCACUGCAAACACCUAAUUCCUCAUCUAACUUUGUAAUGUCGGCCUUGAAAUAUUUCAUGGCUCAACAGCAGAUGUACGUUUUCAUAAUUUUCUUCUGCUUUAUCCAGAGGAUAGCAUUUUACUUCCUAAUCAGAAGGAACUGAAAAAUGCUGGAUACCCUAAAUCCUGCUUUUGGCUGGGGUAGAGUUAAUUUUCCUCGCAGUAGCUUGUAUGGGCCUGUGCUUUGGAUUUCUGACGAAAAUCAUGUGGAUAAUGCAGGGAUGAUUUAGUUGCUGCUGAGCAGCGCUUACACAGCAUCAAGGUCUGUCUUAUUUCUCACGCUGCCCUGCCAGCGGAAAGGCUGGGGGCGCACAUGGAGCUGGGAAGGGACCCAGCUGGGGCAGCUGACCCCGACUGACCAAAGGGACACCCCAGCCGUGCAGUGUCGUGCUCUGGAGCGGGAAGAGGAAGGGGGGACGUUCAUAAUUAUGGCGCUUGUCUUCCCAAGUAACUGUUACACGUGAUAAGCCCACCCUCCUGCAGAUGGCUGAACACCUGCCUGCCGAUGGGAAGCACUGAAUUAAUUCCUUGUUUUGCUUUGCUUGUGCACGCGACUUUUGCUUUGCUUAAAUUGUUUUUAUCUCAACCCACGAAUUUGCUCAGUUUUACCCUUCCGACUUUCUCCCUUGUCCCACUGGGGGAGUGGGGGAGUGGCCAGGUGGUGAUGAGCUGCCGGCCAGGGUUAAAUCAGACACCUAACAUGGAGGUGGAAUGAGCUGAAAAUUCACCUGGCAGCUACAAACUCUGUAAUCAUCAUCCACAUUCGGAUGAUUUGAAGCGUGACUUCCCUCGAUGAAUGUGAGCACCUCCAUAGCUCAGUUUCCUGGAUGACACUUAUUGGAAAUAACUGCUUCCAUCCCAGGAGAAAAUGUUAAGAUUUGUAAGAUAAGAACAUGGUGCAAAAUUAACACAAAAAUUAUUCUUAGCUUUUGCCAUUUUAACCAAUUAUACAAAUGUUUUUCUCUCUUUGUAUAGGCUUAAUCGUUACAGUGUAUAUUGUAUAUAUACUCUCUAUCAGUACAUGUCUUGACUUGCAAUAUAAUAGGCUGAGAACAGUAAUAAAAUUAAGUUUUAUGAUGUUGGGUAUUUCCAAUAUCAGCAUACCCACCAUAUUUUGAAACGCUGUACAACAUUCAAAACCUGUACCGAUGUUUCACGUCAGAAGCAUAAACAAGCUGCAAGAGCUUAUUUCACUUUACUUUAAAAAAAAAAAACCAGUUUAAACUUCAAAAGAAAACCAGUAUACUUACAUUAUUGCCAUCAAGAAAUGGUUUAACAUUUGGCACAACUCCAGUUGCACUAACAAUGAAAUUGCAUCCAUAAAUUUUUCCAUUAGUUAAUUCCACAUAUACAGGCCAUAGCACUGAAAAAGGGGAGAAUUUUGCCCUGAGAAUGUAACCAACAUCAGUUAUUUUAUUAAUGAUGUCUUCUUAUAAGACAUGAAAUAAAAGAAAAAAUAUUUUGAGAUAUCUAAUUGAUUAGGUAGGGGGGAAAAAAUAAAAUAAAGAAAA